RNAcentral lists this ribosomal RNA (253 nucleotides) under uncultured bacterium. RNAcentral describes it as "partial 16S ribosomal RNA". It matches the Rfam family "Bacterial small subunit ribosomal RNA", at positions 524 to 776 of the family's 1533-position model. The record is from RNAcentral.
UACAGAGGGUGCGAGCGUUAAUCGGAAUUACUGGGCGUAAAGCGUGCGUAGACGGCUAUCUAAGCCGGGUGUGAAAGCCCCGGGCUCAACCUGGGAAUUGCAUUCGAGACUGAAUAGCUAGGGUACGGUAGAGGGAAGUGGAAUUUCCGGUGUAGCGGUGAAAUGCGUAGAUAUCGGAAGGAACAUCAGUGGCGAAAGCGACUUCCUGGACCAGUACCGACGUUCAGGCACGAAAGCGUGGGGAGCAAACAGG